GCGGACGGCUAUAGGAGGGAGGGCCACACCCGGUCUCAUACCGAACCCGGAAGUUAAGCCUCCCUCCGCCGUCGCGAGUACUGAGGUCCGAGAGGCCUCGGGAAAGCGCGGUGCUGUCCGCC
Molecule: ribosomal RNA, 122 nt
Filed under: Thermoprotei archaeon
Lineage: Archaea; Thermoproteati; Thermoproteota; Thermoprotei
Source: RNAcentral